AUUGAACGCUGGCGGCAUGCUUUACACAUGCAAGUCGAACGGUAACAGGCCUUCGGGUGCUGACGAGUGGCGAACGGGUGAGUAAUGCAUCGGAACGUGCCCAGAGGUGGGGGAUAACGCAGCGAAAGCUGUGCUAAUACCGCAUGUGAUCUGAGGAUGAAAGCGGGGGACCAGGCAGCAAUGUUUGGCCUCGCGCCUUUGGAGCGGCCGAUGUCAGAUUAGGUAGUUGGUGGGGUAAAGGCCUACCAAGCCGACGAUCUGUAGCUGGUCUGAGAGGACGACCAGCCACACUGGGACUGAGACACGGCCCAGACUCCUACGGGAGGCAGCAGUGGGGAAUUUUGGACAAUGGGCGCAAGCCUGAUCCGGCAAUGCCGCGUGCGGGAAGAAGGCCUUCGGGUUGUAAACCGCUUUUGUACGGAACGAAAAGGCUCUGGCUAAUACCUGGGGCUGAUGACGGUACCGUAAGAAUAAGCACCGGCUAACUACGUG
RNAcentral lists this ribosomal RNA (492 nucleotides) under uncultured bacterium. RNAcentral describes it as "partial 16S ribosomal RNA". It matches the Rfam family "Bacterial small subunit ribosomal RNA", at positions 30 to 507 of the family's 1533-position model. The record is from RNAcentral.